This 1160-nucleotide ribosomal RNA is filed under the name human gut metagenome. Its description in RNAcentral is "bacterial LSU rRNA". It matches the Rfam family "Bacterial large subunit ribosomal RNA", at positions 1748 to 2925 of the family's 2925-position model. The record is from RNAcentral.
GUGCCCACGGGAGUGGGCCGCAGAGAAUAGGCUCAAGCAACUGUUUAGCAAAAACACAGGUCUAUGCGAAACCGAAAGGUGAGGUAUAUGGCUGACGCCUGCCCGGUGCUGGAAGGUUAAGAGGAGAGGUUAGCGCAAGCGAAGCUUUGAAUUUAAGCCCCAGUAAACGGCGGCCGUAACUAUAACGGUCCUAAGGUAGCGAAAUUCCUUGUCGGGUAAGUUCCGACCCGCACGAAAGGCGUAAUGAUUUGAGCACUGUCUCGACAAUGCAUCCGGUGAAAUUGAAGUACCAGUGAAGAUGCUGGUUACCUGCGCCAGGACGGAAAGACCCCAUGGAGCUUUACUCCAGCUUGAUACUGGGAUUCGAUACUGUAUGUACAGGAUAGGUGGGAGACGUUGAGCAUAGAACGCCAGUUUUAUGUGAGUCGCUGUUGGGAUACCACCCUUGCAGUAUUGGAUUUCUAACCUGCACCCAUGACCUGGGUGGGGGACAAUGUCUGGCGGGGAGUUUGACUGGGGCGGUCGCUCCGAAAGGGUAUCGGAGGCGCUCAAAGGUUCCCUCAGAAUGGUUGGAAACCAUUCGAAGAGUGCAAAGGCAGAAGGGAGCUUGACUGUGACACCGACGGGUGGAACAGGUACGAAAGUAGGACUUAGUGAUCCGGUGGUAUAAAGUGGGAUUGCCAUCGCUCAACGGAUAAAAGCUACCCUGGGGAUAACAGGCUUAUCACUCCCAAGAGUUCACAUCGACGGAGUGGUUUGGCACCUCGAUGUCGGCUCAUCGCAUCCUGGGGCUGUAGCAGGUCCCAAGGGUUGGGCUGUUCGCCCAUUAAAGCGGUACGCGAGCUGGGUUCAGAACGUCGUGAGACAGUUCGGUCCCUAUCCGGCGCAGGCGGAGGAUAUUUGAGAGGAGCUGUCCUUAGUACGAGAGGACCGGGAUGGACGGACCACUGGUGUAUCUGUUGGCUAUCAGAGCCAUGGCAGAGUAGCCAAGUCCGGAAGGGAUAAACGCUGAAGGCAUCUAAGCGUGAAGCCCCCCUCAAGAUGAGAUAUCCCUCAGAAAUGAGUAAGACCCCUUGAAGACUACGAGGUAGAUAGGAAUGAGGUGUAAGCACAGCAAUGUGUUCAGCUGACAUUUACUAAUCGGUCGAGGGCUUGACCAA